UGAAUACGAGAUGCUACGGCAUCGAAGCAGUCUAUGUCACACUUCCAAGAAAAGCUUGCACUGUCAUAAACAAAUAAUGCCUGUACCAUAACCGACACAGGUGGGUAGGUAGAGUAUACUAAGGGGCGCGAGAUAACUCUCUCUAAGGAACUCGGCAAAAUGACUCCGUAACUUCGGGAGAAGGAGUGCCUUAUUUUUAUAAGGUUGCAAUAACAAGAUCCAAGCAACUGUUUACCAAAAACACAGGUCUCCGCUAAGUCGUAAGACGAUGUAUGGGGGCUGACGCCUGCCCAGUGCCAGAAGGUUAAAGAAGUUGGUUAGCAUUAGCGAAGCUGAUAACUGAAGCCCUGGUGAACGGCGGCCGUAACGAUAACGGUCCUAAGGUAGCGAAAUUCCUUGUCGGGUAAGUUCCGACCCGCACGAAAGGCGUAAUGAUUUGGAUACUGUCUCGGAGAGGGGCUCGGUGAAAUAGACUUGUCUGUGAAGAUGCGGACUACCUGCACCUGGACAGAAAGACCCUAUGAAGCUUUACUGUAACUCGAGAUUGAAAUUGGACUUUAUCUGCGCAGUAUAGGUGGGAGACGUUGAAAAUAUUCUUGCGGGAAUAUUCGAGUCAUCAGUGAGAUACCACUCUUAUAAUGUUAGAUUUCUAACUUUGUAUCAUUAUCUGGUCAAAGAACAGUCUCAGGCGGGCAGUUUGACUGGGGCGGUCGCCUCCUAAACGGUAACGGAGGCGCACAAAGGUUUCCUCUGAACGUGUAGAAAUCGUAUCUAGAGUGUAAAGGCAUAAGGAAGCUUGACUGUGAGACCUACAAGUCGAGCAGGGACGAAAGUCGGUCUUAGUGAUCUGACGGUGCUGAGUGGAAAGGCCGUCACUCAACGGAUAAAAGUUACUCUAGGAUAACAGGCUGAUCUCCCCCAAGAGUUCACAUCGACGGGGAGGUUUGGCACCUCGAUGUCGGCUCAUCGCAUCCUGGGGCGGUAGUACGUCCCAAGGGUUGGGCUGUUCGCCCAUGAAAGCGGUACGCGAGCUGGGUUCAGAACGUCGUGAGACAGUUCGGUCCGUAUCCGGUGUAGGCGUUAGAAUAUUGAGAGGAGCCUUCUUUAGUACGAGAGGACCGAGAAGGACAUACCUCUGGUGUACCAGUUAUCGUGCCAACGGUAAACGCUGGGUAGCUAUGUAUGGAGAGGAUAACCGCUGAAAGCAUCUAAGUGGGAAGCCCACCUCAAGAUAAGUAUUCUC
Molecule: ribosomal RNA, 1243 nt
Filed under: metagenome
Description: bacterial LSU rRNA
Rfam family: Bacterial large subunit ribosomal RNA
Source: RNAcentral